UCUGGUAUUGAUUGGUGCUUGCAUCAUGAUUUACAUUUGAGUGAGUGGCGAACUGGUGAGUAACACGUGGGAAACCUGCCCAGAAGCGGGGGAUAACACCUGGAAACAGAUGCUAAUACCGCAUAACAACUUGGACCGCAUGGUCCGAGCUUGAAAGAUGGCUUCGGCUAUCACUUUUGGAUGGUCCCGCGGCGUAUUAGCUAGAUGGUGGGGUAACGGCUCACCAUGGCAAUGAUACGUAGCCGACCUGAGAGGGUAAUCGGCCACAUUGGGACUGAGACACGGCCCAAACUCCUACGGGAGGCAGCAGUAGGGAAUCUUCCACAAUGGACGAAAGUCUGAUGGAGCAACGCCGCGUGAGUGAAGAAGGGUUUCGGCUCGUAAAACUCUGUUGUUAAAGAAGAACAUAUCUGAGAGUAACUGUUCAGGUAUUGACGGUAUUUAACCAGAAAGCCACGGCUAACUACGUGCCAGCAGCCGCGGUAAUACGUAGGUGGCAAGCGUUGUCCGGAUUUAUUGGGCGUAAAGCGAGCGCAGGCGGUUUUUUAAGUCUGAUGUGAAAGCCUUCGGCUCAACCGAAGAAGUGCAUCGGAAACUGGGAAACUUGAGUGCAGAAGAGGACAGUGGAACUCCAUGUGUAGCGGUGAAAUGCGUAGAUAUAUGGAAGAACACCAGUGGCGAAGGCGGCUGUCUGGUCUGUAACUGACGCUGAGGCUCGAAAGUAUGGGUAGCAAACAGGAUUAGAUACCCUGGUAGUCCAUACCGUAAACGAUGAAUGCUAAGUGUUGGAGGGUUUCCGCCCUUCAGUGCUGCAGCUAACGCAUUAAGCAUUCCGCCUGGGGAGUACGGCCGCAAGGCUGAAACUCAAAGGAAUUGACGGGGGCCCGCACAAGCGGUGGAGCAUGUGGUUUAAUUCGAAGCUACGCGAAGAACCUUACCAGGUCUUGACAUACUAUGCAAAUCUAAGAGAUUAGACGUUCCCUUCGG
RNAcentral lists this ribosomal RNA (987 nucleotides) under Lactiplantibacillus plantarum. Its description in RNAcentral is "bacterial SSU rRNA". It matches the Rfam family "Bacterial small subunit ribosomal RNA", at positions 62 to 1023 of the family's 1533-position model. The record is from RNAcentral. Lineage: Bacteria; Bacillati; Bacillota; Bacilli; Lactobacillales; Lactobacillaceae.